UGGGGAAUAUUGGACAAUGGGCGCAAGCCUGAUCCAGCAAUGCCGCGUGUGUGAAGAAGGCCUUCGGGUUGUAAAGCACUUUUAUCAGGAGCGAAACGCUGUCGGCUAAUACCCGGCGGAACUGACGGUACCUGAGGAAUAAGCACCGGCUAACUUCGUGCCAGCAGCCGCGGUAAUACGAAGGGUGCAAGCGUUAAUCGGAAUUACUGGGCGUAAAGCGUGCGUAGGCGGUUUCUUAAGUCUGCUGUGAAAUCCCCGGGCUCAACCUGGGAAUGGCAGUGGAUACUGGGAGGCUAGAGUGUGUCAGAGGGUGGUGGAAUUCCCGGUGUAGCGGUGAAAUGCGUAGAGAUCGGGAGGAACAUCAGUGGCGAAGGCGGCCACCUGGGACAACACUGACGCUGAGGCACGAAAGCGUGGGGAGCAAACAGGAUUAGAUACCCUGGUAGUCCACGCCCUAAACGAUGCGAACUGGAUGUUGGUCUCAACUCGGAGAUCAGUGUCGAAGCUAACGCGUUAAGUUCGCCGCCUGGGGGAGUACGGUCGCAAGACUGAAACUCAAAUGAAUUGACGGGGUCAUAGCUGUUUCCUG
This 589-nucleotide ribosomal RNA is filed under the name uncultured bacterium. RNAcentral describes it as "partial 16S ribosomal RNA". It matches the Rfam family "Bacterial small subunit ribosomal RNA", at positions 355 to 1376 of the family's 1533-position model. The record is from RNAcentral.